RNAcentral lists this ribosomal RNA (468 nucleotides) under uncultured bacterium. Its description in RNAcentral is "partial 16S ribosomal RNA". It matches the Rfam family "Bacterial small subunit ribosomal RNA", at positions 28 to 507 of the family's 1533-position model. The record is from RNAcentral.
GACGAACGCUGGCGGCGUGCUUAACACAUGCAAGUCGAACGGAAAGGCCCUGCUUUUGUGGGGUGCUCGAGUGGCGAACGGGUGAGUAACACGUGAGUAACCUGCCCUUGACUUUGGGAUAACUUCAGGAAACUGGGGCUAAUACCGGAUAGGAGCUCCUGCUGCAUGGUGGGGGUUGGAAAGUUUCGGCGGUUGGGGAUGGACUCGCGGCUUAUCAGCUUGUUGGUGGGGUAGUGGCUUACCAAGGCUUUGACGGGUAGCGGGCCUGAGAGGGUGACCGGCCACAUUGGGACUGAGAGACGGCCCAGACUCCUACGGGAGGCAGCAGGGGGGAAGAUUGCACAAUGGGCGGAAGCCUGAUGCAGCAACGCCGCGUGCGGGAUGACGGCCUUCGGGUUGUAAACCGCUUUCGCCUGUGACGAAGCGUGAGUGACGGUAAUGGGUAAAGAAGCACCGGCUAACUACGUG